RNAcentral lists this ribosomal RNA (888 nucleotides) under uncultured archaeon. RNAcentral's name for it is "bacterial SSU rRNA". It matches the Rfam family "Archaeal small subunit ribosomal RNA", at positions 19 to 900 of the family's 1478-position model. The record is from RNAcentral.
GGAGGCUAUGCUAUCGGAUGCGACUAAGCCAUGCGAGUCCAGGCUCUUCUCCCAAAAGGAGGAGAACCGGCGUACCGCUCAGUAAGAUGUAAAUAACUUACCCUUAAGUGGGAAAUAACCUCGGGAAACUGAGGAUAAUGUCCCAUAGUCCUAGAACGCUGGAACGCCUCUAGGACGAAAGCUACGGCGCUUAAGGAUAGGUUUACACCCUAUUAGGUUGUAGUGGUGUGUAACGGACCCACUAGCCUAUGAUGGGUACGGGCAUUGAGAGAUGGAGCCCGGAGAUGUACUCUGAGACAUGAGUACAGGUCCUACGGGACGCAGCAGGCGCGAAAAUUCCACAAUGUGCUAACGCACGAUGGAGGCAUUUCGAGUACCGGCAGUUCGCUGUCGGUUGUUCCCAUACUUCAUCAGUAUGGGGAGUAAGGGCUGGGUAAGACGGGUGCCAGCCGCCGCGGUAAUACCCGCAGCCCGAGUGGUAGCCACUAUUAUUGAGCCUAAAACGUUCGUAGCCGACCUUAUAAAUCUCAGGAUAAAUUACACUGCUUAACAGUGUAGCUUCCUGAGACACUGUAAGGUUAGGGACUGGGAGGCACCGAAGGAACUCUUGAGGUAGGGGUGAAAUCCUAUCAUCUCAAGAUGACCACCAUUGGCGAAGGCGUUCGGUGAGAACAGAUCCGACGGUGAGGAACGAAGCCCUGGGGAGCAAAUGGGAUUAGAUACCCCAGUAGUCCAGGGUGUAAACGCUGCAGACCCUAUGUAGGGUACUCUCAGAGAGUACUCUGUGUAGAAGAGAAGUCGUUGAGUCUGCUGCUUGGGGAGUACGUUCGCAAGAAUGAAACUUAAAGGAAUUGGCGGGGGGAGUACCGCAACGGGAGGAACGUGCGG